Molecule: ribosomal RNA, 279 nt
Filed under: uncultured bacterium
Lineage: Bacteria
Description: partial 16S ribosomal RNA
Rfam family: Bacterial small subunit ribosomal RNA
Source: RNAcentral
UGCCAGCCGCCGCGGUAAUACGGAGGGUGCAAGCGUUAUCCGGAUUUACUGGGUUUAAAGGGUGCGUAGGCGGAUUAAUAAGUCAGUGGUGAAAUCCUCCCGCUCAACGGGAGAACUGCCAUUGAAACUGUUAAUCUAGAGUUUGGUUUAGGUAAGUGGAAUACAGCAUGUAGCGGUGAAAUGCAUAGAUAUGCUGUAGAACACCAAUAGCGAAGGCAGCUUACCGAGCCAAUACUGACGCUGAGUCACGAAAGCGUGGGUAGCGAACAGGAUUAGAUA